AUGGCUCAGGAUGAACGCUGGCGGCGUGCUUAAUACAUGCAAGUCGAACGAAGCACUUCAGCAGAUCCCUUCGGGGUGAAGCCGGUUGUGACUUAGUGGCGGACGGGUGAGUAACGCGUGGGUAACCUGCCUUAUACAGGGGGAUAACAGCUGGAAACGACUGCUAAUACCCCAUAAGCGCGCGGCACCGCAUGAUGCAGUGUGAAAAAGAUUUAUCGGUAUAAGAUGGACCCGCGUCUGAUUAGUUAGUUGGCGGGGUAACGGCCCACCAAGACCGCGAUCAGUAGCCGACUUGAGAGAGUGAUCGGCCACAUUGGGACUGAGACACGGCCCAGACUCCUACGGGAGGCAGCAGUAGGGAAUAUUGCACAAUGGGGGAAACCCUGAUGCCAGCGACGCCGCGUGAGUGAUGAAGUAUUUCGGUAUGUAAAGCUCUAUCAGCAGGGAAGAUAAUGACGGUACCUGACUAAGAAGCCCCGGCUAACUACGUGCCAGCCGCCGC
Molecule: ribosomal RNA, 502 nt
Filed under: uncultured bacterium
Lineage: Bacteria
Description: bacterial SSU rRNA
Rfam family: Bacterial small subunit ribosomal RNA
Source: RNAcentral